UACGAGGGGGGCGAGCGUUGUUCGGAAUUAUUGGGCGUAAAGGGCGCGUAGGCGGUCGGAUAAGUCUUGUGUGAAAUCUUCGGGCUCAACUCGAAGUCUGCACAGGAAACUAUCUGGCUUGAGUGUGGGAGAGGUGAGUGGAAUUCCUGGUGUAGCGGUGAAAUGCGUAGAUAUCAGGAGGAACACCUGUGGCGAAAGCGGCUCACUGGACCACAACUGACGCUGAGGCGCGAAAGCUAGGGGAGCAAACAGG
Molecule: non-coding RNA, 253 nt
Filed under: uncultured bacterium
Lineage: Bacteria
Also listed under: 2 other names
Description: partial 16S ribosomal RNA
Rfam family: Bacterial small subunit ribosomal RNA
Source: RNAcentral